This 84-nucleotide transfer RNA is filed under the name Deltaproteobacteria bacterium. RNAcentral's name for it is "tRNA-Leu". It matches the Rfam family "tRNA". Rfam says of the family: Transfer RNA (tRNA) molecules are approximately 80 nucleotides in length. Their secondary structure includes four short double-helical elements and three loops (D, anti-codon, and T loops). Further hydrogen bonds mediate the characteristic L-shaped molecular structure. tRNAs have two regions of fundamental functional importance: the anti-codon, which is responsible for specific mRNA codon recognition, and the 3' end, to which the tRNAs corresponding amino acid is attached (by aminoacyl-tRNA synthetases). tRNAs cope with the degeneracy of the genetic code in two manners: having more than one tRNA (with a specific anti-codon) for a particular amino acid; and 'wobble' base-pairing, i.e. permitting non-standard base-pairing at the 3rd anti-codon position. Lineage: Bacteria; Pseudomonadati; Myxococcota; Myxococcia. The record is from RNAcentral.
GCGAGAGUGGCGGAACUGGUAGACGCGCUGGUUUUAGGUACCAGUGGCCUAGCCGUGGGGGUUCGAGUCCCCCCUCUCGCACCA